UGCUAGGAAAGCAGGAUUAAGAUUCGUAUCUUAAUCAUUUCGGAGUUUCUAAGUCGGAAAAAAAAAUAAUGCUUUGUGAGCCUUCAUUUUGCAUUGUAUUGUUCUUGAGUUUCUAGCUGGUGUGAGACAAUUUGUGUCCUAUUUUAUGCUAUCUUCAAUGCAGAGUUUCUCUAAGAAAUCGCCUUAUGGAAUAUAUUUAUAUAUUUUAUAGGAGAAG
This 217-nucleotide unclassified non-coding RNA is filed under the name Hevea brasiliensis (rubber tree). The record is from RNAcentral. Lineage: Eukaryota; Viridiplantae; Streptophyta; Magnoliopsida; Malpighiales; Euphorbiaceae.